This is a microRNA precursor of Gorilla gorilla gorilla (western lowland gorilla), 83 nucleotides long. NCBI's taxonomy places the organism in Eukaryota, Metazoa, Chordata, Mammalia, Primates, Hominidae. The record is from Ensembl.
UGGGGGAAAAGUGCUGGGAUUGAUUAGUGAUGUCUGCUGGGGAACUGGGGCUCAGGGAUGAUAACUGUGCUGAGAAGCCCCCU